GAUGAAGAACGUAGCGAAAUGCGAUAAGUAAUGUGAAUUGCAGAAUUCAGUGAAUCAUCGAAUCUUUGAACGCACAUUGCGCCCGCCAGCAUUCUGGCGGGCAUGCCUGUUCGAGCGUCAUUUCAACCCUCGAGCCCCCCCGGGGGCCUCGGUGUUGGGGGACGGCACACCCGCCGCCCCCGAAAUGCAGUGGCGACCCCGCCGCAGCCUCCCCUGCGUAGUAGCACACACCUCGCACCGGAGCGCGGAGGCGGUCACGCCGUAAAACGCCCAACUUUCUUAGAGUUGACCUCGGAUCAGGUAGGAAUACCCGCUGAACUUAAGCAUAUCAAUAAGCGGAGGA
This 343-nucleotide unclassified non-coding RNA is filed under the name soil metagenome. Its description in RNAcentral is "partial contains 5.8S ribosomal RNA, internal transcribed spacer 2, and large subunit ribosomal RNA". The stretch from base 1 to 120 matches the Rfam family "5.8S ribosomal RNA", at positions 35 to 154 of the family's 154-position model. The record is from RNAcentral.